ACGGCCUAAAGCGUGGUUAAAUUAUAUUAAAAUAAAUAGAAAUAAAAAUUAACUCGACUGUCAUACGUUUAUGUUAAAUGGCGAACCAAAAACGAAAGAUAUUCUAACAAACAAAUUAUUUGAACCCACGAAAGCUAAGAAACAAACUAGGAUUAGAUACCCUACUAUGCUUAGCCCUAAACUUUGGAACCACCCCGCCUGAGUACUACGAGCCACAGCUUAAAACUCAAAGGACUUGGCGGUGCUCUACACCCCCCUAGAGGAGCCUGUUCUAUAAUUGAUACCCCCCGCUAAACCUCACCACUUAUUGCCAAUACCGCCUAUAUACCGCCGUCGUCAGCUCACCAUUUAAGUGGAGAAUAGUAGGCAUAAUGAUAAACAUAAAAACGUCAGGUCAAGGUGUAGCGAAUUAAGUGGAAAGAAAUGGGCUACAUUUUCUAAAUUAGAAAAAUACGAAGAAUUUUAUGAAAAACUAUUUAAAGGUGGAUUUAGCAGUAAAAAGAAAAUAGAGUGUUCUUUUUAAAUAGGCCAUAGAGCGCGCACACACCGCCCGUCACCCUCCUCGAAAAACCAACCAAUUAUAUAAUAAAAGAAAAUAAAAGAAGAGGUAAGUCGUAACAUGGUAAGUUUACCGGAAGGUGUACUUGGAUUAU
Molecule: ribosomal RNA, 653 nt
Filed under: Hynobius dunni
Lineage: Eukaryota; Metazoa; Chordata; Amphibia; Caudata; Hynobiidae
Description: partial 12S ribosomal RNA
Rfam family: Bacterial small subunit ribosomal RNA
Source: RNAcentral